GACGAGGUGGCCGAGUGGUUAAGGUGAUGGAGUGCUAAUCCAUUGGGGUCUCCCCGCGUGAGUGUGAGUUCGAGUCCCAUCCUCGUCG
This 88-nucleotide transfer RNA is filed under the name Strigamia maritima. It matches the Rfam family "tRNA". Rfam says of the family: Transfer RNA (tRNA) molecules are approximately 80 nucleotides in length. The record is from Rfam by way of RNAcentral. Lineage: Eukaryota; Metazoa; Arthropoda; Chilopoda; Geophilomorpha; Linotaeniidae.